AUGGCCUCUUCGAAGAUCCGUAAACUUUGCAAUUUUUGUGGUGGUUUAUGGAUUCAAAGCGAGGCCUAAAUUAACGAUCAUGUCCUUUUAUAUUAAGAAAAGGGCGUAUCAUUGAAUUUUUCAAUUUCCAAAGGGAAGAAAACAAAUGAUGUUGUGCUAUUUCAUGCAUUUCUUUUUCUUUUAUUCAAUGACACAUGU
This 198-nucleotide small nucleolar RNA is filed under the name Saccharomyces arboricola H-6. Lineage: Eukaryota; Fungi; Ascomycota; Saccharomycetes; Saccharomycetales; Saccharomycetaceae. The record is from RNAcentral.